Mesocricetus auratus (golden hamster) is the source of this 1811-nucleotide long non-coding RNA. RefSeq lists it as uncharacterized. The record is from RefSeq and is a predicted model, not a curated record. Lineage: Eukaryota; Metazoa; Chordata; Mammalia; Rodentia; Cricetidae. The transcript is spliced from 4 exons.
CUCCUGCAGCAGAAGACAGUCACAAUUUCAGGUUGCCUGGUUUUAAAGCAAUUAUACCUCUGGGGGAUCUUGUUGUGUCUGAUUUCUAAAUGCUGGUUGUUUAUAGAAUUACUGCUCAGAUCCCUUUAGUUCGAAAUGAGCAUGCCAAUGAAACUAAGACGAGAAGCUGCACUCCUAAAUUGGAUUAUCGGCUUUCCUGGUGGACCCACUUGCACGGGCCCUCCUCUGCAAAGUUGCCAGUGAUUCGCGGCAGUUUAGUGCGAUGGCUUACGUGGAUAGUCAGGACAAGGUGCAUCUAGUUAACUUCUUAGUGAUUCUGUGUCUUGGGGAUGCCUGUUGCCACAGUAACAGACCAACAGACCUUCCCUGCCUGUUUAAAUUGGCUCUUAAUUUUUAUUUAAACUGUAUUGAGAGGAGGGUACGAUCCAACUCUCAGUUCUAAAUUGGCAUUCUCCAAGACAAACAUUUUAAAAGAACAAAGCCAAAACAUUCAGGAAAUUGUCUCUUUCUUCCUCUGCUGUCUGCUGUUUGGAAAUCCCUUUUCUAUUUUCCUUUGUAACAUGGAGUUGUAAUCAAUACAGCUAUUUUUCUACAAUAGCAAUUCAUACAGCUUGUUUUCAUGCCUCUCUCUUUUUGUUGUUAUUGUUUGGCACUGACAUAAUUGAUGAAUGUCAACACAACUGGCGGAUGGAUUGGCAUCUUUGAAAUAACUGCUGCUACUGAGGCCCACAGAGGCAGGACACAGGUGCCAUUUCCCACCUGGAAGAAAAGGUAAGAAUGUGGCCACCAAUCUUCAGCCUGAUGAAACUGUACCGGUGCCUAAAGGAUCUUUCCUAUAAAUCAAGACCAAAAACGGAUAAAUCAAAAGCAAAGGAGCCAUGUACUUCAUGUUCAGAAUUUGCAAUGGUUGAAAGUCACGAUUAAAAAUAAAUGAAGACAAUAUUACAUCAAAACCAUUCCAAAGCUCAAAGAAGGGUGUAGCUGUUACCAUGGAGCCCACCGAGGGGCUUGCCAGCAGAGCUUGGCAGAGCUGCCUGGACAAAAUGGGCUGAACUUUUGUUUUCUACAGAAGCAGUAAGACUCCAAAGCCUAUGUUGACAGGUGCCUUACUACAUCAGUAUCCCCUGAGCAUCAUCACCACCACAAACAAAUCUCUUUGGAGUGUCUCCCAGCCCUUGCUAGUUAUCCUGUAGCAUCUAACCCAUUGUCUACUUACCAGCAACUCAAUCAAAUUUGAUGGACCAGUGAUGGAUUGAGAGUUCUGGCACAUCCAGGCACCUUUGUGUCUUCUCUUUGGUGAGGACAAGUACUUCAAAGAAGUUAUGGACAACAGUGCCUUCUUCACUAGCAAGACGAAGACAGCUGAAACUCCAGAGCGUUCACAGAAAGGGUUGUGUAAUGAAGGAACCAAUUUUAGCACCUCUACUGAGAAUUACACAACAGUCAACUCUGUGAAUCAAUUUGAUUGAAACAUUCUCUUUCUGAGUCCUAACAUCCCCUACUUUGAAAUUUUGUGGCAAUUUUGUUUGGUUUUUAAUUGGUUCUUAUUGGCUCUUUCAAUAGUAUAACUUAUUUACCUGCUUUUGAAAAAAAUUUUCCUUUAGUAAAUGCCUUAAAAAUAUAGUCUUCAAAUAUACCAGAAUAAUCUUGCAAUUGACAAAGACAAUCAUCUUGUUCAUAAAUAAUGCUUCAGUUUCAACAUUAUUUAUGUAGUGAUGCUCCAGAAUGUUCUCCAGAUCUUUCCAGGAAUCUAUGAAUUGUGAUAUGUGCUUUUAAGAAAACUUCACAUAAAGUUCUCCAUUCUUGCUUUA